AAGGAACUCAGCCAAGAAGAGAGGCAGAGAAGUGCUGGUUGUGCUUAGCAGCCGAUGAUUUUGAGACCUGCGAGGCCACAUCCCCAGGGUUUUUCAUCUCUUCUGUUUCCAUUUGUAUCAAAUGGUAACCCACUGAAGACUACCUUGUGCUAGAAUGGAACUGCCCUUGCCAUCUCUCUUUAACAGAAGCACAUCCUGAGAACCUACCUGAGAGCUCAAGGUAAGAGUCUGAACACUGUCACCACAUACAGACAGCUAACUAUCUCCUUACCGUACAACCAAAGCAAGAAACAAACACAUGCGACGCCGUCAAGGUAGAAGACACCACUGUUUACUACCCUAGUCCCAAAUAUCUGUGUACAUUAGCACAGCCUUACCUAGCUCUUCUGUCAUUGUCUUUUUAAGUAAACAUUACACAUUUGAAUU
Long non-coding RNA from Sapajus apella (tufted capuchin), 426 nucleotides. RefSeq lists it as uncharacterized. The transcript has 2 exons. NCBI's taxonomy places the organism in Eukaryota, Metazoa, Chordata, Mammalia, Primates, Cebidae. The record is from RefSeq and is a predicted model, not a curated record.